Non-coding RNA from Picea glauca (white spruce), 2116 nucleotides. The record is from Rfam. Lineage: Eukaryota; Viridiplantae; Streptophyta; Pinopsida; Pinales; Pinaceae.
AUGCAUCAGAUGGAUGCCCGGGCAUUGAGAGGUAAGGAUGUUUCCAAAGGCGAAAGGCCAUGGGGAGAUACCGUCCGUGAUCCAUGGAUCUCUGAUCGAGAAAUCGUAUCCAAGCCCCGUGGCUAGUCCGCGCUCCUUGGACUUGAAAGACUUAGCGAACUGAAACAUCUAAGUAUCUAGAGGAAUGAGAAUCAACCGAGACCCCUUUAGUAGCGGCGAGCGAAAGCAGAUUGGGCAAAUACUAAGCAGUGAAGGUUUUCGUUUCGAUCUUGGUCUCAUUUUCCUAGCCUUGCCUUCUCUUUGUGAUUCAUUUCAGUUCAUUAGAUGAUGGAAGAACCAAGCAUGUCGAUGCUUUGCCCUUUGAUUUAGGCUAUAAGGUAGGUAGAAUUGUGAAUGAAAAGGUUGGAAGAUCUGGCCAAAGAAGGUGAUAGCCUUGUAGAGAGUCCCAUGGUUCGAUUUUGUAAGUCAAACGCAACAUGUUUGAAUUAGGAUCGCUUCUAUGUGAGAAAGGGGGACCACCCUCUAAGCCCAAGUAUUCCUCAAUGACCGAUAGUGUACAAGUACCGUGAGGGAAAGGCGAAAAGAACCCUAGGAAAGGGAGUGCAAUAGAAAGAAAUCCGAUGCAAAGAAUUAGUCGAAGGAGCGAAGCUUCGGGUAAGAUUCUCAGGGUCUAAUUUGACCGGAAAGACCCUAUCACUUUGGUCGAGCGACUCCGUCCCUCACCCACGAUGAGUGAGCUAACUUCGUUCCUCUAUUUGUUUCAAAUACCUGAGCAGAGCUCAGGGUUGGGUUGACUUGGACGCAUCUCACCCUAACGAUGUACCUUUUGCAUAAUGGGUCAGUGAGUAAAUGGGAACAACGUCUUAAGCCAUUAGGUGUUGGCGCUUUCUAGCCAGGGAAUAUCCCAGUUUUGACUAUUUGACCCGAAAUCGAUCGAUCUAGCCAUGCACAGGUUGAAGAGAGCUCCAACAGGGCUUGGAGGACCGAACCCACGUAUGUGGCUAAAUACGGGGAUGACUGGUGGCUAGGGGUGAAAUUCCAACCAAGAUCGGAUAUAGCUGGUUUUCUGUGAAAUCUAUUUCAAUAGAGCGUGCGUAUAAUAUGGCCUGAGGUAGAGCACUCAAUGGGCUAGGGUGGCCCAAAGCUUUACCAACCCCAAGGAAACUUCGAGUACAAUCUUAAUCAAUCGUACAGAUAGACUUUGGGUGCUAAGAUCCAGAGUCGAGAGGGAAACAACCUAGAUCAUACACUAAGGUCCCUAAGCAAUCGCUUAGUGGAAAAGGAAGUGAUCGAGCGAUGACAACCAGUAGGUGGGCUUGGAAGCAACCAUCCUUCGAAGAAAUCGUAAUAGCUCAUUGGUCUAGCUCCAUGGCACCGAAAAUGUAUUGGGGCUCAAGUGAUUCAUCGAAGCGACGAGACCUUGGAAGCGUUAAGCGAGCUCUAAAGACCCAAGGUUCUUUAUUUCUCACCCGAAGAAUGAGGGUGAGGAGAGCGUUUAACUCGUCUCGACCAAAGGGAGAGGAGGGCGAGUAAGCGAGGCGCCAACCAAGUGUCAGUAGCAGGACGUUCUGUCAAUCGGGGAAGGGACAACACCUGGAGAUAUUAGAAGUGAGAAUGUUGACAUGAGUAACGAUGAAUCAUGUGAAAAACACGAUCGCUUGCCAGUUCCAGGGUUUCUGCGUUCAGUCAAUCUACGUAGAGUGAAUUGGUCCGUAAGGAACCCCCGAAAGGGCUUUCGUCCAAUGGGUACACGAAAGAGACGAAGUUGCCCCGACCACUGAACCAUGCGUGUUUGUUGAAGUGAAUUGGAUGAGAGUUCGAUUUUCCCGCCAAUCAAAUUGAAUGAAUGCAAAAGCACACUUCUGUUAGGGUUUCAACUUCCAGGAAAAAACUUCGAAUUGGGAGGGCGAUCCUCCCAGUGAACUAAUCGUACCCCAAACUGACACGGGUGAGCAAAUAGAGUAUACUAGGGCGCUUGAGAGAACCAUGUUGAAGGAACUCGACAAAAUGACCCCGUAACUUUGGGAGAAGGGGUGCUCUCCCUCCUAUCUUUGGGUUGAGAAAGCGGCACAUACCAGGGGGUGUAACACCCUGUUUCCCCCAGCUUGUAAAUAUA